AACUAUGAAGUAUAAAAUUGAACGAAAGCGAUAAAAAUUUAAAAAAAAAAAAAGAUGUUACAUAUAAAAACAAUUUUAGCCCUAAGUCAUUUGUGAAAUGCCUUCAUCCUACCAUCAGUGUUUCUUGAACACAGAAUUCUUUCCAGAUUUUAGCAAGAAGAGAUUACAAGAUGGGGGAUAUUAGCAACGAAGCGCCAAUAAUCUCCUUUCUCAUUUCUGCACCGUUUUUCCAGAAAGGGACACCUUAUGAUUUCCAAGGUUCCAAGUCUGGCAAGGUCCUCCGUUGGCAAUGAUUGGAUUUUAGGGCAACGGUAAAUCUGUAAAUCAUCAAGAGAUGUGAGGUUGUGAAGGCCUGCAGAUAUGGAUUUCAGAUUCUCAAAUUCACCGACUGCAAGAAAGGUUAGGGAAGAGGGAAGGAGUU
This 421-nucleotide unclassified non-coding RNA is filed under the name Hevea brasiliensis (rubber tree). Lineage: Eukaryota; Viridiplantae; Streptophyta; Magnoliopsida; Malpighiales; Euphorbiaceae. The record is from RNAcentral.